AGAGUUUGAUCAUGGCUCAGGAUGAACGCUAGCGAUAGGCUUAACACAUGCAAGUCGAGGGGCAGCAUGGUCUUAGCUUGCUAAGACUGAUGGCGACCGGCGCACGGGUGCGUAACGCGUAUGCAACUUGCCUCACAGAGGGGGAUAACCCGUCGAAAGACGGACUAAUACCGCGUACACUCUAUGUUGGGCAUCCAAUGUAGAGGAAAUGAAAUUCGCUGUGAGAUAGGCAUGCGUCCCAUUAGCUAGUUGGUGAGGUAACGGCUCACCAAGGCGACGAUGGGUAGGGGAACUGAGAGGUUGAACCCCCACACUGGUACUGAGACACGGACCAGACUCCUACGGGAGGCAGCAGUGAGGAAUAUUGGUCAAUGGGCGAGAGCCUGAACCAGCCAAGUCGCGUGAAGGAUGACUGUCUUAUGGAUUGUAAACUUCUUUUAUACGGGAAUAACAAGAGCCACGUGUGGCUCCCUGCAUGUACCGUAUGAAUAAGCAUCGGCUAACUCCGUGCCAGCAGCCGCGGUAAUAC
This 529-nucleotide ribosomal RNA is filed under the name uncultured bacterium. Its description in RNAcentral is "bacterial SSU rRNA". It matches the Rfam family "Bacterial small subunit ribosomal RNA", at positions 8 to 526 of the family's 1533-position model. The record is from RNAcentral.